Long non-coding RNA from Molossus molossus (Pallas's mastiff bat), 746 nucleotides. RefSeq lists it as uncharacterized. The record is from RefSeq and is a predicted model, not a curated record. The transcript is spliced from 3 exons. NCBI's taxonomy places the organism in Eukaryota, Metazoa, Chordata, Mammalia, Chiroptera, Molossidae.
UCCCAGCAACCUGCCUUUUUACAGAGGAAAUGGAGUCCCAGAGAGGGGACAGGACUUGACCAGGAGCUCUGGGGCCGGGGGCUGCGUCCAUUCCCAGAUAUCCCCCCAACUCCCAGGCAAGAGGGCCUCCCUCUGCCCUCUGGGGCAGCUGUCAGGAUGAUGAGUGUCACCGUGGCGGUUCCUGUUCCCUCCCCUCAGCUGCCUGAGCAGUGCCGGGGGGACCAUCCUCUGCCCUGCCCUGGCCUCCAUCCCGUCACACCUGUCAGAGCCAACACAAAGCGGGUGAAUCCCCAGGAGCUGCUGGUGUCACACAGGAGGAGCUGGGGGGGGUCACCCCGGGAGCCUCAUGUCUCAGCUGAGAGCAGCAGCCGCUGUGUGGUGGACAGGGUCCUCGGCAUCCCAGCAGCCUGUGCUGAUCACUGUCCGCUGCACCUGGUUUGAAAAGGGUCAAAGUUCGCCUCCGCGAGACGCAGCGUCAGGAAGAAGCCUACUUUACCACUCCAGUGGGAGGAGGGCUGAUUUUCUCCUUGGCAAGCAACAGUCCCAGCCAAUGUGAAACUGCCAGGACUCAGCCAAUGGAAAGCUACUAGAUUUCAGAACUCAGUUUCCGCCAAUGGACAUUUUGUUUAUGAGAGCCCCUCCCAACUCACCCUUUUUCGCUAUAAAGUAAUAUUCCCCCCCUUUGUUCUCCAGACUUCCUAAGGUUGGCCAUGGCUAGCAUGUCCUGAAUUGCAAUUCCUCUGCCA